Molecule: long non-coding RNA, 196 nt
Organism: Ailuropoda melanoleuca (giant panda)
Lineage: Eukaryota; Metazoa; Chordata; Mammalia; Carnivora; Ursidae
Exons: 3
Source: RefSeq, a predicted model, not a curated record
GUGCUUGGAGCACCUCUCCGGGGCCGGCAAGGCCAUCGGAGUGCUGACCAGCGGCGGGGAUGCCCAAGGUAUGAACGCCGCCGUCCGAGCUGUGGUGCGCAUGGGAAUAUACGUGGGGGCCAAAGUGUACUUUAUCUAUGAGAGAUAGAGACAGCCAGCGAGAGAGGGAACACAAGCAGGGGGAGUGGGAGAGGAA